AGCACCUGCUAUUUCUGAAGAUGAAUCUGUAACCAGCUCUUCCAGCAAACCCAGUCCUGUUAAUUCCUGGCCUACAUCAGAUGACACUGACUUUCUUCUGGAUAACAAGAAGCAGAAAGGCCAAAAAUUAUAAGGCUGGAAAAUGGUAAGUUUGUUCUUGUAAAAACACAAGAAGAGCAAACAGCCAAAAAUAUGACUAAUGUGGAUGAAGAGAAGAAAACUCCUCAAACUGAUACUGUGUUGCCACUGGAAGCACAGACAGAUGAUGAAUCUCCUUGGGAUUCUGAGAAUCUUCCACAGCAGCCUGUCGAUCCUUUUCCUGGGGAUGCAGAUGAUGGAGGAAAACAUGCAGGAAAUACACAAACAAAAGAUUUACCUGACACACAUCUUCACUUGAAGAUAAUGACUGUAUAUUUGUGUUCUGAAUCAACUUCACAUUUUGGAGCUGUGGAGUGUUCAUUAAGCAUUUGACUUUAAAACCCA
Long non-coding RNA from Cavia porcellus (domestic guinea pig), 483 nucleotides. RefSeq lists it as uncharacterized. The transcript has 6 exons. NCBI's taxonomy places the organism in Eukaryota, Metazoa, Chordata, Mammalia, Rodentia, Caviidae. The record is from RefSeq and is a predicted model, not a curated record.